Molecule: long non-coding RNA, 2812 nt
Filed under: Canis lupus dingo (dingo)
Lineage: Eukaryota; Metazoa; Chordata; Mammalia; Carnivora; Canidae
Description: lncRNA (ENSCAFG00020026940.1)
Source: RNAcentral
AGUAGAAACUUGCACGCCAGGAACACCUUCCUUUGGACUUGGCAAGUCAUCGCCUCCUGACACUACUAAGAGCGCUUGGCGAGUGGUUCUCCAAAGAAGGCCUGCGAUGGGGGAGGCCCUCUGAGAGCCCCUGGAGAUGCCACUCCCAGCUCCAAAUGUCUCGGUAAUAUUGGGAAAUUUGCAUUCUGUUUUUAUUAUAUUGCCGUGUCUAUUUUUGAUCUAAACCUAAUGUGCUCCCUAUACCCUUAAACACAGUAAAAUUGGAGCAUCCCAAACGUUUACCUUGUUUUAUCCCAUGGCUUCAUGCCCUCCCCACCCCAGGGCCCAAAGGGUGGUUGCAGCCUAUUUUGAGGAAUAAGACACUGCACAGCUUUAUAGGAGCACCAGGCUUUCAACUCUCUGAACUCGUUUUUAUCAGGCCAGUCUCUGCUCAUGAUAAAUAUGCACAUAAGGGGAAAAACAUACAAAGUCAGCGUUCUUUUGUUUACCUAGUUAGGUAGGAGGGCAAACGUUUAUCAAGCUAUUUUUCUCUAUUUAAAUACAUGGUUAAAGUUCUUAAUUAUUGGAGGAACUGUGGUCGCCGUUAUCAAAUAAUUAUUUUAGACACGCGCACAUUGGUGUUGCCCCAAAGUAAUUAGGGGACAGCCAUAAAACUUGGCAGUUGAUGGCAGCUCCUAACAUUUCAUUAUUUUCGGUUUAUUUAUGAGGAAACCUAGAACCAGCCUCCUGCUCGUGUUUUAAUUACUCAGCAUGGGAAGGAUUGAUUUCCGAAAACCUCCCCACUGCAGAAGGUAAUGAUGAGCCCAUUGCCCUGAGGAGCUCAGGGCCUCAGAGGUAGGCAGCCUCCCCCCUGGGGAUGUCACUGCGGCCCUUUAGUGUGUCCCAGAGUCCCUGGAGUGUAUCCUGUCCUGAGAGCUCACGUGGAAGCAUUCUACGGAGGAAAACAGAACACUGCUUCCAGCGUUUGGACCUGGCAGCCUCAAUGAAAGGCUGUGACACAUGUGGAGGGCAACCUUUGGCGCAGAAUUCUCAUCUUCCUCAUCCAGGUUACCUUCUCCGGCAUCCUGGAUUAGCAGUACCUGUUCCCUUACCAGCACCCUUCUGGCGGGCCAAGGUGUGGGCAUCUAGCUUGGGAAUGGACCGUCACCAGCUUCCAGAAGUGAACUGCUUCAUUGAAUGCUAUUCUCACAAGCAAGAUCAGGAUACAUUCUUGUGAAAAAUCUAAGCAUUGGCCCAUUUAGAGAUGAAAUUGCUGGAUCAUAGGAAGUCACAUCUGAUCGUUUUGUGAAUGCUCCUAGGUUUCCAUCCAGCAUGGUUGUGUCAACUAAAUACAUUUUCUACUCCCCUGUGGGAUGCGUCUCCACUCAGCUGAACCACCCUCAGGACAAAUUCAUUUGCCCCCUUCUAAAAGACAAAGACAAACGCAACGUGCAGGUCACCAACAUUCAGUUUCUGAAAGAUAUUUGUUGGAUCUAAAAUGAAUUUGAUGGCAUCCGAUGUGGACCCGGGGCCGUGUGCCUCUCUCUCCCCGUGCUGCAGGCCUCAUACUCAUACUCAGACUCAUACUCUCCAGCCUGGUGUUGUCUUAGAAUUAGCUGCACGCUUCUUUCAUGCGAUGACAUUCAAGCCACAAAAAGACAGCAAGGUCAGCGAGGGCUGGAAGAGAAAGUGAGUGUAGCUCAUAAAACCAAGAGGCACUUAAGACUGAACAAGAUUAACAAGUGCUGUUGAAAAGACCUACUCGGCUGGAGUCACAGAGGGGAGAAGGGCGUCAGCUCAAUUCUCUUGGCUUUGCUGUCACACCAGUGGAAAGCACCCGAGCGCCUUGCAUGAGACUGCAAGAAAGCUCUUUGGAAAACGUCUGCGUCUUUCAUGGCUAUUUCUCUUAGACCUUUGCAGAAGGAACCAGGGGAUCUUUGUCGCUGUCCCAGUUAUCUGCUGUGGACGUCCUGUUGUCUGCCUGGUGGGAAUGGUUAUGUCUGAGGUUUGCUCAGGUUCUUACAGUCAAGUCAUUUAAUGACCUUUCUAGAACAAUUUCAACUAAAAAAACCCAACCAACCAAAAAAAAAAAAAAAAAACAAACACAACAAAACAAAAAACAAAAACAAAAAACUGUUGCAGAUUCAGUCACAGCAAGCCGAGGAAGAUGAUCCAUGCCUUUUUGCGAGCUGCGUGUAAAUACAUGAAUUGGUGGAAUUCACAAAAAACCUUGUCAUUCAAAUGCCUACGGACCUUUCUGUUGCUGGGCUAAAAUAGUUUUUAGAUCUUAUGACAACUGCCACUUUCAGGACACGCCAUGCUUUCUAUUUCAGGACACACAUUGGCUUUAAAUGCUUAAUAACUGAAAGAUCUCAGUAAUGUUGGGUAAUGCCUGGGUAAGCAAUUUGCUAAAUGCUAUAAAUAUGGAAGGGACUCCCAAAGGCAUGCCAGGUGUACAUGCACGUUGCAAUACAGGCAGGUAAAUAGAGCCCCACCCGAUGUUUACUUAGAUGCCUCCUAAUUUAAGGCAUUUACUUUAAGGUUUUCACGGCACGUCCAUACAGAAGCUGCAGGUGCUCUGGUGGAAGGCAGAGGGAAUGUCUUGGACGUCUCACCCUCUUGUGUUAUGUCCGUAUAGAAGCUACAAGUGCGGGCAGCCCGGGUGGCUCAGCGGUUUAGCGCCGCCUUCGGCCCAGGGCAUGAUCCUGGAGUCCUGGGACCGAGUCCCAUGUCAGGCUCCCUGCAUGGAGCCUGCUUCUCCCUCUACCUGUGUCUCUGCCUCUCUCUCUCUCUGAUGAAUAAAUAAAUAAAAUCUUUAAAAAAAAAAAAAAAG